This is a non-coding RNA of Poecilia latipinna (sailfin molly), 453 nucleotides long. The record is from the annotation of a RefSeq genome assembly. Lineage: Eukaryota; Metazoa; Chordata; Actinopteri; Cyprinodontiformes; Poeciliidae.
AUGAAGCUGCUGCAUGUUUUUGUCUAUGUGUCCUCAGAGGUCAGAGGUCAGUACACAGUGACUCAGCCUGCAGCAGUGAGAGCUGAUAUUGGAAGAUCUGCCACCAUCAACUGUAGAACCAGUCAGAAUGUUUAUGUUUCUGGCAGCUCCCAUCGUUUAGCCUGGUAUCAACAGAAAGAUGGACAAAAUCUUAAGUGGCUCAUUUAUGAUGCCAGCUUUCGACAACCAGGGACUCCAAGUCGUUUUUCAGGCAGAGGAUCAAACUCUGACUUCACUCUGACCAUCAGUGGAGUUCAGGCUGAAGAUGCUGCAGUUUAUUACUGUCAGAGUCUUCAUUACCCCAACAGCCAGCAUGUGUUCACACAGUGAAAAACAGCCGUACAAAAACCUUCCUCAGUCAAACUGAACUGAAACUAAUGUGACAGUUCAGUGACAGUGGCAGCUGGACAUAUA